RNAcentral lists this ribosomal RNA (508 nucleotides) under uncultured bacterium. RNAcentral's name for it is "partial 16S ribosomal RNA". It matches the Rfam family "Bacterial small subunit ribosomal RNA", at positions 28 to 523 of the family's 1533-position model. The record is from RNAcentral.
GAUGAACGCUAGCUACAGGCUUAACACAUGCAAGUCGAGGGGAAACGAUAGAGAAAGCUUGCUUUUUCUAGGCGUCGACCGGCGCACGGGUGAGUAACGCGUAUCCAACCUGCCCACCACUUGGGAAUAACCUUGCGAAAGUAAGACUAAUACCCAAUGAUAUCUCUAGAAGACAUCUGAAGGAGAUUAAAGAUUUAUCGGUGAUGGAUGGGGAUGCGUCGGAUUAGCUUGUUGGCGGGGUAACGGCCCACCAAGGCGACGAUCAGUAGGGGUUCUGAGAGGAAGGUCCCCCACAUUGGAACUGAGACACGGUCCAAACGCCUACGGGCGGCAGCAGUGAGGAAUAUUGGUCAAUGGGCGAGAGCCUGAACCAGCCAAGUAGCGUGCAGGAUGACGGCCCUAUGGGUUGUAAACUGCUUUUAUAAGGGAAUAAAGUGAGCCUCGUGAGGCUUUUUGCAUGUACCUUAUGAAUAAGGACCGGCUAAUUCCGUGCCAGCCGCCGCGGUAA